This 348-nucleotide long non-coding RNA is filed under the name Homo sapiens (human). RNAcentral describes it as "HSALNT0170317". The record is from RNAcentral. Lineage: Eukaryota; Metazoa; Chordata; Mammalia; Primates; Hominidae.
CACAGCUCUGCUGUGUGCCACAUCUCAGGGGAGAAUGGGGUGGGGGGCUGUGGUGCCUGGGAAUGAGCUUGCAAAGCAGAGGGCAGUCGUGAGCUCUGAUGUGGUCCCUCAGGAAGCCUGUGGAGUCAGCACUGAGUGUGCUGGCUCAGCACUACCUGGCUGAGCUGUUUGCGGCAGGCUCACAGAGAGCAGCAGCCACCACACUGGGCAUCCUGUAAGGGCAGCUCACUCGCUCCCAGAUAAUGAGGAAGAGGCUGAGGCCCAGAGGGAGGCCACAAUUUGCACAGUCUUAGGGGAAAAACCAAACACCAAAUCCAUAGUCGUGCUUCAGGUUCCUGGGUGAAGGAA